UUCGCGUUUAGCAUAGUGGGACGGUGUCUUAUUUAUUUGUUUCCUUUCUGUGUUGUUCGAAUCUAAAUUUUAAAUUGCUGAGAAAGGAAGGUGCUGUUGAGGAUUUCUUGAAGCAGAACAGAGAUUCCUCGGAUUUAUUUGAGAAAUUUUUAUCCAUUUCCGAGAGCGAAAAACAAUUGAAGUCCCGUUACAGCCAAGACCUAAUGGAGAAACUGAAAGAAAUGGCAGAAGAUAGUGUCGAAGAUGCACCCGUGUUUAAAACACGAGAUGAGGUCAUGAAGCGGGUAAACGGGUUGUGAUGUAAUACCCUAAUCUGUACGGCCAGUGUUAUCAAUGUGUUUAAUAGAUAAUAUUAAAGCGUAUUCGUAUUCCAUGAAAUAUGGAAGACAUGAAAUAUAUUUAUUUGGAUAUAUGUCAUGCCUUCCAUGAAAUAUAUCCGAAUAAAUGCUAUCUAUGUGAUGUGAAGUGUUGAAUCGUGUUACUGUCACAGGAGCCCCAGGGAACACAAUGCUGGAAACCCUGACUACUGUAGCUUGGUAAGGAGGUUGGCUGGUCAAUAAUGGUUAGGGUCCCUUAUUCUUAUUGCAAUAACACAACUGAUAUUACAUAUCCGAAAUGUGUUACGGUCCUUGCACUAAGAUUCGGAGGUCCUGCUUAUUAACUUUGCGCCUUGGCUGGAAAGAAGCACUUGUCUGCGUCAAUACUAGCCUGUUUAGCAAAAGCAGCAAGUAGAUAGUAAUUCGAGUCCAGCUCUUUUUAAAUAACAACAUGGGGUUGUUAAUAAAGAGAGGAUAAUUUUAUUAGAAAGUAGACUGGACUAAUCAAUCAGGAAGAUCCGAUUGCAGUCGAAUACAUUCCGCCUUGGUAAUACAGUGAGUGCCGUGAAUGAGAUGUGUUUUCUUUAACUUUGUUUUCCCCUUGCCUGCUUCCUUUAGCGUUCAUAAGAGUCCCAGAAUACAGUGCAUUGAAAAGAAGAUUAUCUGCAGCACAGUGAGAAUCAUCAUCAUCUGUUAAGGACUAUUUAUUCUCAGGCUUGUAAAGAUAAGAACAUUUGUUUUUAAGGAGUCAUUAAAAUAUAUUAGGAAUUAAUCAGAUAGUAUUGAACAUCAUAAGAUCAAUGAAGUCUUUUUUUAGAUUAGACCUUGUAUGAAUGGUUACUAUUUGGAAUAGUGUUUAGUAAAACAAUAAAUUAAAUACCAAAUUAGGUCUUUUUUAACAAUGUAAACAAUUUUAAGGUUAUUUUCUUAUAAUUUAACACCACCAAUUGUAAUUACUGUUCUAUAUAUAUAUAUAUAUAUAUAUAUAUAUAUAUAUAUAUAUAUAUAUAUAUAUAUACACACAUAUAUAUGGAAAUGUCUGUAGAGAACUUCCAGCACCCCUUCCAGAAUUCUUCCAGCACUCCUGGGGCUAAUCAAUGACAAAACAUGGGAUGGGUGAAAUUGCUCUGCAGUAGGGGUCUUCGCUGUACCUUUGGGAAGAACCUUGCCUACCUAGGCAACGUGGCAAAGCAGCGCUAACUGUGAAGCCACCAAAUACAGAUGUAACAUUUCCGGAUGUGUAUGGGAGGCAGUAACUGGAUGCUGGUAACCAUCUUAAAGUCUGUAAAAUGUCUUUAUUGUGUUUAUACAGCAUAUUAGAAGUAUACAUCAUGUCCUAAUAAAUUCACAAAAACUAGCUUUAGAACAUCUCCCUUUCCAUUAGGUUCAGUGAAACCCAAGCACUACAGCUGUGUUCAUACAGUCACCACUAUUUUCUCUAAAUAAAGUCUGAUUAAUGAACACAUUUCUUGGCUAUCCAUAAUUGUUUUUCAGUUUCUAUUACAGUUAGACAAGGUGCACAAAUACUCCUCUUCAAUUACCUUUAAAUGUAAGCCACAAAGAAAUGAACAGAACAUGUAUGUUUACCCCAAAGCCUUUGUAGAUGGAAAACAAAGACAACAAGAAAAUAAAUACCUGCAUCAUUUUCAUAGCAGGUGGCGAGUAAUAAUUUAGUAUACUCACAUGGUUAUCACAAUUCUUGUUUCGUUCCACUAGAACUAUGCCACCUCUCUCCAGAAAAGAAAGACAGACAGUAGACAACCUAAACUUAACGGCAUGUUAUUCUACCACCUUCCAUGUUACAACAUCAGAUAUCUGAACUAUUCCAUCUGAUCAGAACUCACUGCAUUCAGGCAGGUUUGUGAACAAAUUUGGCCGUUCUCUAUAAAAAGCAAUGACAUAACUUAAUUUUGCACUUAAAUUGUGUGACUCCACAAAAUGUCCCUUUACAGUCUGUACAAGAAAAGCCAGUGAUUGCAAAGAAUAGUGUGAAAUUGUAUUUGUUCAUCUGAGUGGGCCAUAAUAUGCUGCUUGCUGUUGAGAUGAGGAGUUUGGUAUUUAAUCAUCUCUCAAAGCUAAAUUGCCACCUGGCAUUCUUUUUUGUCCAAAGGUUGAAAAUCUUGACAUGUGUAAUAUCUGACAUCCAGAACCACUUGGGUUUGUUUUUUCGUUUGAUUAGCCUCCAAAACCACAUUUGGGAGAGAGGAGACAUAGUGAGCUAAUUUCCAUAUUCAAUAUACGAACAAGAUUGUGGUUGAUAUAAUUUGUUUGUUUUUAUUAAAUGUCUGUUGCUUUAAAAAAAAAAAAAAAAAAACCUGACAUCUGCCAUUGCACCAAUAAAUCUGACAAAAUUAGUAUAUUCUAAAUGGCUGGUUUUCUUUAAACCAGGAAAAACAUAAAAAAAUGGUUCUUUGGAAACUGAA
Molecule: long non-coding RNA, 2740 nt
Organism: Polyodon spathula (Mississippi paddlefish)
Lineage: Eukaryota; Metazoa; Chordata; Actinopteri; Acipenseriformes; Polyodontidae
Exons: 2
Source: RefSeq, a predicted model, not a curated record